This 406-nucleotide long non-coding RNA is filed under the name Rattus norvegicus (Norway rat). Its description in RNAcentral is "long non-coding RNA NONRATT017815". The record is from RNAcentral. Lineage: Eukaryota; Metazoa; Chordata; Mammalia; Rodentia; Muridae.
UCUUGUUCAGUUCGUCUGAAGGAGAUUUCCGGUUCACUGUGAGGUCAAACGUCUCUGAUGGCUCCGCGGCGGUGGGCGGAAGCCUCAACAGCCAGCGCCAAACAAAACUGCUCAGUCUUGGUAAAGAACAAAGUCCAGACUCCGGCGAGCAGAAACUAAUGAGUCAUUCCUUCUUUUCUUGGCUUCCACAUCUAGGCAAGGCACCCAAGCCUUACUCUUUGAGCAGGUUCGUCCCUGUCCUCUGCCAUUGCCUUACCCAUGGUCCCCUGGGCCUCCCCAUCCCUGACCACCUUCAGAACAGCAUCCUGUUCCCACUCACUCCACACACGCCAUUGCUAAAGCACCUCUUCCAGUGGUAGGACCUCAAGCUUUAUGGAUUGGCAAAUUAAAAAAGAAAAUCUCUACA